AGUCACGUGGUCUAAUGGUUAUGAUAUCUCGUUCACAAUAAGUGAACUUACAAAUCCGAGAUGGUUCCCGGUUCGAUCCCGGGCGUGACUA
RNAcentral lists this transfer RNA (91 nucleotides) under Aspergillus alliaceus. It matches the Rfam family "tRNA". Rfam says of the family: Transfer RNA (tRNA) molecules are approximately 80 nucleotides in length. Lineage: Eukaryota; Fungi; Ascomycota; Eurotiomycetes; Eurotiales; Aspergillaceae. The record is from Rfam by way of RNAcentral.